GCGUCUAUAGCUCAGUGGCUAGAGUGCUGGUCUAGUAAACCAAGGUCAGGAGUUCGAUCCUCCUUGGAGGCA
RNAcentral lists this transfer RNA (72 nucleotides) under Penaeus monodon (black tiger shrimp). RNAcentral describes it as "tRNA-Thr". It matches the Rfam family "tRNA". Rfam says of the family: Transfer RNA (tRNA) molecules are approximately 80 nucleotides in length. Their secondary structure includes four short double-helical elements and three loops (D, anti-codon, and T loops). The record is from RNAcentral. Lineage: Eukaryota; Metazoa; Arthropoda; Malacostraca; Decapoda; Penaeidae.